GUCUAGUCCGAAUUCCGAAUGCAGCAGUGUUGGUGACUAACUGAUCACAACCAGAUACAGAUUUCUUUGUUCCUUCUCCACUCCCACUGCUUCGCUUGACUAGCCUCUA
This is an unclassified non-coding RNA of Cercocebus atys (sooty mangabey), 109 nucleotides long. It matches the Rfam family "Y RNA". Rfam says of the family: Y RNAs are components of the Ro ribonucleoprotein particle (Ro RNP), in association with Ro60 and La proteins. The Y RNAs and Ro60 and La proteins are well conserved, but the function of the Ro RNP is not known. The record is from Ensembl. Lineage: Eukaryota; Metazoa; Chordata; Mammalia; Primates; Cercopithecidae.